RNAcentral lists this ribosomal RNA (374 nucleotides) under uncultured bacterium. RNAcentral's name for it is "bacterial SSU rRNA". It matches the Rfam family "Bacterial small subunit ribosomal RNA", at positions 527 to 896 of the family's 1533-position model. The record is from RNAcentral.
GUAGGUGGCAAGCGUCGUCCGGAUUUAUUGGGCGUAAAGGGCGCGCAGGCGGUUCGUUAAGUUCGAGGUGAAAUCUCCUGGGUUCAACUGGGAGGGGUCUUCGGAUACUGGCGGACUUGAGGAGAGCAGAGGUGAGUGGAAUUCUGGGUGUAGUGGUGAAAUGCGUAGAUAUCCAGAGGAACACCAGUGGCGAAGGCGACUCACUGGGCUCCACCUGACGCUGAGGCGCGAAAGCGUGGGGAGCGAACCGGAUUAGAUACCCGGGUAGUCCACGCCGUAAACGAUGGACACUAGGUGUGGGGGGGGUAUUGACCCCCUCUGUGCCGCAGCUAACGCAAUAAGUGUCCCGCCUGGGGAGUACGGCCGCAAGGCUA